AGGCGGCUGACACGGCCAGGAUGACGGGUUGAAAACCCGUCGAAACAGACACCGGUUGGAAACCGGUGCCACACA
Molecule: transfer RNA, 75 nt
Filed under: Phycisphaerae bacterium RAS1
Lineage: Bacteria; Pseudomonadati; Planctomycetota; Phycisphaerae
Description: tRNA-Phe
Source: RNAcentral